Juglans regia (Persian walnut) is the source of this 138-nucleotide long non-coding RNA. RefSeq lists it as uncharacterized. Lineage: Eukaryota; Viridiplantae; Streptophyta; Magnoliopsida; Fagales; Juglandaceae. The transcript is spliced from 3 exons. The record is from RefSeq and is a predicted model, not a curated record.
CCCAACCACGGGUUAUAAUAGUGGAUACGGCCCAACCACAGGUGACGGUUAAUAUUCGUUCAGCACUGUUGUGGGAAAAUUUCGAAAGCUAAGAAAUUUAGAUGAUUUGAAUAUUUCAGCUGAGGAUCAAGAUUAUGG